Molecule: ribosomal RNA, 587 nt
Filed under: uncultured bacterium
Lineage: Bacteria
Description: partial 16S ribosomal RNA
Rfam family: Bacterial small subunit ribosomal RNA
Source: RNAcentral
UGGGGAAUUUUGGACAAUGGGCGAAAGCCUGAUCCAGCAAUGCCGCGUGUGUGAAGAAGGCCUUCGGGUUGUAAAGCACUUUUGUCCGGAAAGAAAUCCUUGGCUCUAAUACAGUCGGGGGAUGACGGUACCGGAAGAAUAAGCACCGGCUAACUACGUGCCAGCAGCCGCGGUAAUACGUAGGGUGCAAGCGUUAAUCGGAAUUACUGGGCGUAAAGCGUGCGCAGACGGUUGCAUAAGACCGAUGUGAAAUCCCCGGGCUCAACCUGGGAACUGCAUUGGUGACUGGCAGGCUAGAGUAUGGCAGAGGGGGGUAGAAUUCCACGUGUAGCAGUGAAAUGCGUAGAGAUGUGGAGGAAUACCGAUGGCGAAGGCAGCCCCUGGGCAAUACUGACGCUCAUGCACGAAAAGCGUGGGGAGCAAAACAGGAUUAGAUAGCCUGGUAGUCCACGCCUAAAACGAUGUCAACUAGUUGUUGGGGAUUCAUUUCCUUAGUAACGUAGCUAACGCGUGAAGUUGACCGCCUGGGGAGUACGGUCGCAAAGAUUAAAAACUUAAAUGAAUUGACGGGGUCAUAGCUGUUUCCU